AGCCCCCAGUGUCGCCGGCC
This 20-nucleotide microRNA is filed under the name Columba livia (rock pigeon). Its description in RNAcentral is "cli-miR-9630-5p". The record is from miRBase by way of RNAcentral. Lineage: Eukaryota; Metazoa; Chordata; Aves; Columbiformes; Columbidae.